This 798-nucleotide ribosomal RNA is filed under the name uncultured bacterium. RNAcentral describes it as "bacterial SSU rRNA". It matches the Rfam family "Bacterial small subunit ribosomal RNA", at positions 665 to 1462 of the family's 1533-position model. The record is from RNAcentral.
AAUUCCACGUGUAGCAGUGAAAUGCGUAGAGAUGUGGAGGAACACCGAUGCCGAAGGCAGCCCCCUGGGAUGACACUGACGCUCAUGUACGAAAGCGUGGGUAGCAAACAGGAUUAGAUACCCUGGUAGUCCACGCCCUAAACGAUGAACACUAGUCGUCGUGAUGCUUGUCAUUGCGGUGAUGCACUUAACAGAUUAAGUGUUCCGCCUGGGGAGUACGGUCGCAAGAUUAAAACUCAAAGGAAUAGACGGGGACCCGCACAAGUGGUGGAGCAUGUGGUUUAAUUCGAAGAUACGCGAAAAACCUUACCUGGCCUUGACAUUGAUAGAAUCUGCUAGAGAUAGCGGAGUGCCCUUCGGGGAGCUUGAAAACAGGUGCUGCACGGCUGUCGUCAGCUCGUGUCGUGAGAUGUUGGGUUAAGUCCCGCAACGAGCGCAACCCUCGUCCUUAGUUGCCAGCAGGUUAAGCUGGGCACUCUAGGGAGACUGCCUUCGUAAGGAGGAGGAAGGUGAGGACGACGUCAAGUCAUCAUGGCCCUUACGGCCAGGGCUACACACGUGCUACAAUGGGGCGUACAGAGUGUUGCAAUACCGCGAGGUGGAGCCAAUCACUUAAAGCGUCUCUCAGUUCGGAUUGUUCUCUGCAACUCGAGAGCAUGAAGUCGGAAUCGCUAGUAAUCGCGGAUCAGCAUGUCGCGGUGAAUACGUUCCCGGGUCUUGUACACACCGCCCGUCACACCAUGGGAGUGGAAUCUGGCAGAAGUAGGUAGCCUAACCGCAAGGAGGGCGCUACCACGC